This 467-nucleotide ribosomal RNA is filed under the name uncultured bacterium. Its description in RNAcentral is "partial 16S ribosomal RNA". It matches the Rfam family "Bacterial small subunit ribosomal RNA", at positions 28 to 506 of the family's 1533-position model. The record is from RNAcentral.
GACGAACGCUGGCGGCGUGCUUAACGCAUGCAAGUCGAACGGAAAGGCCCUGCUUUUGUGGGGUGCUCGAGUGGCGAACGGGUGAGUAACACGUGAGUAACCUGCCCUUGACUUUGGGAUAACUUCAGGAAACUGGGGCUAAUACCGGAUAGGAGCUCCUGCUGCAUGGUGGGGGUUGGAAAGUUUCGGCGGUUGGGGAUGGACUCGCGGCUUAUCAGCUUGUUGGUGGGGUAGUGGCUUACCAAGGCUUUGACGGGUAGCCGGCCUGAGAGGGUGACCGGCCACAUUGGGACUGAGAUACGGCCCAGACUCCUACGGGAGGCAGCAGUGGGGAAUAUUGCACAAUGGGCGGAAGCCUGAUGCAGCAACGCCGCGUGCGGGAUGACGGCCUUCGGGCUGUAAACCGCUUUCGCCUGUGACGAAGCGUGAGUGACGGUAAUGGGUAAAGAAGCACCGGCUAACUACGU